This is a long non-coding RNA of Mustela erminea (ermine), 484 nucleotides long. RefSeq lists it as uncharacterized. Lineage: Eukaryota; Metazoa; Chordata; Mammalia; Carnivora; Mustelidae. The transcript has 3 exons. The record is from RefSeq and is a predicted model, not a curated record.
CAAGCUUAUUUUUUGAGGAAUCCUUUAACUUUUGGAAGUGUACCUUUAAUUAAUGUUUGAAAAUCUCUCCCUUUUAAUAAAUACCUAUUGUAACAGAAAUUGGUAAUUUUACUGAAACCAUGUGGGAAAUAAAACAUGAGAAUAUAUUUCCUACUUCUCUUUGCAGGAUUGACAUAAAGGGUCAGCAGAGUGUUGCCUAGAAAGGGAUUUCUCCUUAUGGUACCAGAGUGCCACAAGAAGAAUGUUUGCUGGAGGUUGUGAAGAAUCAAUAGAGGAAACCAAAGAAAGGAGACAUGCGGUCUGAAAUUAAUACAGCUGGUGAAAUCAGACUUAAAGCAGGUCCAUUUAUUCACAGUUGACUGGAAUAACUGAAACUUGGAUUUUACAAUUAGAAUAUCUUAGAACAAGCAACUUACUUUAUAGAGGGACACAAAAAAGUAACAGACGGAGAUCACCAGUAGGCAGAGAAGCAGGCAGAGAGAGG